RNAcentral lists this long non-coding RNA (899 nucleotides) under Brassica napus (rape). RNAcentral's name for it is "long non-coding RNA (BNAP_LNC001291)". The record is from RNAcentral. Lineage: Eukaryota; Viridiplantae; Streptophyta; Magnoliopsida; Brassicales; Brassicaceae.
GGGAGAGCUUUUAGAGAGUGAAGGUUUUUUGAGAGUGAAAUUUGCUCGUGCCCUCUUCCUUGAACAUAAUUACGUAUUUAUAGGCAAAGAGUGCUUGAAUAAAGUCUUGCAACGUGUCGUCUUCUAGUGGUGCCGACACUUGAUUUAAUACGUGUUGAGUCUUGAGUGGUGCCGACAAUUGCUGUCAAAAACUGUUGUUGUUUUGUGCAGAAGUCUUCGUGUGGGUCCCAUGUGGGUCCCGCCAUUGUCGGUUGGAUUCUUUCUCGAAAUUCUUGCAUAGCUUUUUCGCGAGUCUUGUUAUACAGAUAUACUCUGUAUAUUAUUUUGUAGAUAGUAGUAAUAAAAUACAGAGAAGAAAAUACAGAAAUAAUGUACAGAGUCUACUAGAAUAUACUUAAAACCGAAAUUGUAAAUAUAGACAUACUUUUAGGUUAUAACGAUUUUAGUAUAACGAUUCCUUAAUAAUUUGUUUUAAUUAUUGUAACGUUAUUACUAUUUUGAUAUACAAAAUUUUAGAAUUUGAUAUUUAUAAGAAUUUGAGCGUUGUACACAGAAUAUGAUUAAAACUUACUUUUAUUUAUCUUGAGUUGUGAUACAAUCUUUGAUACAAAAUUACAAACUUAAAACUUAGAAAACACAGGAAAUUUUAGAGAGAAGGGAGAGCUUUUAGAGAGUGAAGGUUUUUUGAGAGUGAAAUUUGCUCGUGCCCUCUUCCUUGAACAUAAUUACGUAUUUAUAGGCAAAGAGUGCUUGAAUAAAGUCUUGCAACGUGUCGUCUUCUAGUGGUGCCGACACUUGAUUUAAUACGUGUUGAGUCUUGAGUGGUGCCGACAAUUGCUGUCAAAAACUGUUGUUGUUUUGUGCAGAAGUCUUCGUGUGGGUCCCAUGUGGGUCCCGCC